Molecule: transfer RNA, 69 nt
Filed under: uncultured Alistipes sp.
Lineage: Bacteria; Pseudomonadati; Bacteroidota; Bacteroidia; Bacteroidales; Rikenellaceae
Rfam family: tRNA
About the family: Transfer RNA (tRNA) molecules are approximately 80 nucleotides in length. Their secondary structure includes four short double-helical elements and three loops (D, anti-codon, and T loops).
Source: RNAcentral
CCUUUAGCUCAACAGGUAAGAGCAGCGGACUCAUAAUCCGAAGGUUGCAGGUUCAAGCCCUGCAAGGCC